GUCGUGCGAGAACGGGGGGGCAACUCCCCAAGUACAGCGGCGCACGGGUGAGUAACACGUAGGUAAUCUACCCCUGAGUUCGGGAUAACCUACCGAAAGGUGGGCUAAUACCGGGUAUGACCACGGCGGCCACGGCCGCUGCGGUGAAAGGUGGCCUCUGCUUGCAAGCUACCGUUCGGGGAUGAGCCUGCGCGCCAUUAGCUAGUUGGCGGGGUAACGGCCCACCAAGGCUCUGAUGGCUAGCUGGUCUGAGAGGAUGGCCAGCCACACUGGAACUGACACACGGUCCAGACUCCUACGGGAGGCAGCAGUGGGGGAUAUUGCGCAAUGGGCGAAAGCCUGACGCAGCGACGCCGCGUGGGUGAUGAAGGCCUUCGGGUCGUAAAGCCCUGUCGAGGGGAAAGAACCGGCUGGGUUCGAACAGGGCUCAGUCCUGACGGUACCCCUAAAGGAAGCACCGGCUAACUCCGUGCCAGCAGCCGCGGUAAUACGGAGGGUGCGAGCGUUGUUCGGAAUCACUGGGCGUAAAGCGCGUGUAGGCGGCUCAACAAGUCUGGUGUGAAAGCCCGGGGCUCACCCCCGGAAGUGCACUGGAAACUGUCGAGCUCGAGUCCCGGA
RNAcentral lists this ribosomal RNA (618 nucleotides) under uncultured bacterium. RNAcentral's name for it is "bacterial SSU rRNA". It matches the Rfam family "Bacterial small subunit ribosomal RNA", at positions 61 to 653 of the family's 1533-position model. The record is from RNAcentral.